GCAUGGAUAGCUCAGUGGCAGAGCGUUGGGGCGAUAACCCAUGCGGCCCGGGUUUAAACCCCGGUCCAUACA
Phthorimaea operculella (potato tuberworm) is the source of this 72-nucleotide non-coding RNA. The record is from the annotation of a GenBank genome assembly. NCBI's taxonomy places the organism in Eukaryota, Metazoa, Arthropoda, Insecta, Lepidoptera, Gelechiidae.